Molecule: ribosomal RNA, 497 nt
Filed under: uncultured bacterium
Lineage: Bacteria
Description: partial 16S ribosomal RNA
Rfam family: Bacterial small subunit ribosomal RNA
Source: RNAcentral
GAUGAACGCUGGCGGCGUGCCUAAUACAUGCAAGUCGAGCGAAGAGACGAGGAGCUUGCUCCUCUGACGUUAGCGGCGGACGGGUGAGUAACACGUGGAUAACCUACCUAUAAGACUGGGAUAACUUCGGGAAACCGGAGCUAAUACCGGAAAAUAUAUUGAACCGCAUGGUGCAAUAGUGAAAGACGGUUUUGCUGUCACUUAUAGAUGGAUCCGCGCCGCAUUAGCUAGUUGGUAAGGUAACGGCUUACCAAGGCAACGAUGCGUAGCCGACCUGAGAGGGUGAUCGGCCACACUGGAACUGAGACACGGUCCAGACUCCUACGGGAGGCAGCCGUAGGGACUCUUCCGCAAUGGGCGAAAGCCUGACGGAGCAACGCCGCGUGAGUGAUGAAGGUCUUCGGAUCGUAAAACUCUGUUAUUAGGGAAGAACAAAUGUGUAAGUAACUAUGCACGUCUUGACGGUACCUAAUCAGAAAGCCACGGCUAACUACGUG